UAGUAACUGCGAGUGAAGCGGGAAAAGCUCAAAUUUGAAAUCUGACGGUUCUUGACUGUCCGAGUUGUAAUCUAGAGAAGUGUUACCUGUGCUGGACCGUGUAAAAGUCUCCUGGAAUGGAGCAUCAUAGAGGGUGAGAAUCCCGUCUUUGACACGGACUACCUGUACAUUAUGGUGUGCUCUCAAAGAGUCGAGUUGUUUGGGAAUGCAGCUCAAAAUGGGUGGUAAAUGCCAUCUAAAGCUAAAUAUUGGCGAGAGACCGAUAGCGAACAAGUACCGUGAGGGAAAGAUGAAAAGAACUUUGGAAAGAGAGUUAAACAGUAUGUGAAAUUGCUGAAAGGGAAACGCUUGAAGUCAGUCGCGUUGGCUAGAAAUCAGCCUUGCUUUUGCUUGUUGUACUUUCUUGUUGACGGGUCAGCAUCAAUUUUGACCAUUGGAUAAAGUCUUUGGGAAUGUGGCAUCCUUGGAUGUGUUAUAGCCCAUUGUCGCAUACAGUGGUUGGGAUUGAGGAACUCAGCACGCUCGAAAGGGCAGGGUCGUUUCGACCACAUUCGUGCUUAGGAUGCUGGCAUAAUGGCUUUAAUCGACCCGUCUUGAAACACGGACCAAGGAGUCUAACAUGCCUGCGAGUGUUUGGGUGGAAAACCCAUGCGCGUAAUGAAAGUGAAAGUUGAGAUCCCCCCUUCAAGGAGGAGCAUUGACGCCCGGACCAGACCUUUUGUGACGGAUCCGCGGUAGAGCAUGUAUGUUGGGACCCGAAAGAUGGUGAACUAUGCCUGAAUAGGG
RNAcentral lists this ribosomal RNA (786 nucleotides) under Inocybe neuquenensis. RNAcentral describes it as "partial large subunit ribosomal RNA". It matches the Rfam family "Eukaryotic large subunit ribosomal RNA", at positions 81 to 846 of the family's 3401-position model. The record is from RNAcentral. Lineage: Eukaryota; Fungi; Basidiomycota; Agaricomycetes; Agaricales; Inocybaceae.